Molecule: ribosomal RNA, 463 nt
Filed under: uncultured bacterium
Lineage: Bacteria
Description: partial 16S ribosomal RNA
Rfam family: Bacterial small subunit ribosomal RNA
Source: RNAcentral
GAUGAACGCUGACAGAAUGCUUAACACAUGCAAGUCUUUGGCGAAUCUGUGCUUGCACAGGCUAGCCAAGGCGGACGGGUGAGUAACGCGUAAAGAACUUGCCCUGCAGACAGGGAUAACAGACGGAAACGACUGAUAACACCUGAUACAGUUGCCGGCACGCAUGUGCCUGGCAAUGAAAAGAGAUGCUGCAGGAGAGCUUUGCGUCCUAUUAGCUUGUUGGUGAGGUGACGGCUCACCAAGGCGAUGAUAGGUAGCCGGCCUGAGAGGGUGAACGGCCACAAGGGGACUGAAAGACGGCCCUUACUCCUACGGGAGGCGGCAGUGGGGAAUAGUGGACAAUGGGGGCAACCCUGAUCCAGCAAUUCUGUGUGCACGAAGAAGGUUUUCGGAUUGUAAAGUGCUUUCAGCAGGGAAGAAGAAAGUGACGGUACCUGCAGAAGAAGCGACGGCUAAAUACGUG